This 253-nucleotide ribosomal RNA is filed under the name uncultured bacterium. RNAcentral describes it as "partial 16S ribosomal RNA". It matches the Rfam family "Bacterial small subunit ribosomal RNA", at positions 524 to 776 of the family's 1533-position model. The record is from RNAcentral.
CACGUAGGGGGCAAGCGUUGUCCGGAAUCAUUGGGCGUAAAGAGCUCGUAGGCGGCUCAGUAAGUCGGGUGUGAAACCCUCAGGCUCAACCUGGGGACGCCACCCGAUACUGCCGGACUAGAGUUCGGAAGAGGCGAGUGGAAUUCCCGGUGUAGCGGUGAAAUGCGCAGAUAUCGGGAGGAACACCUAUGGCGAAGGCAGCUCGCUGGGACGUUACUGACGCUGAGACGCGAAAGCGUGGGGAGCAAACAGG